CCUACGGGUGGCUGCAGUCGAGAAUCAUUCACAAUGGGGGAAACCCUGAUGGUGCGACGCCGCGUGGGGGAAUGAAGGUCUUAUAGAUUGUAAAAUUCUUUUAUUUGGGAAGAAAAACUAAAGUAGGAAAUGACUUUAGUCUGACUGUACCAUUUGAAUAAGUAUCGGCUAACUAUGUGCCAGCAGCCGCGGUAAUACAUAGGAUGCAAGCGUUAUCCGGAUUUACUGGGCGUAAAACGAGCGCAGGCGGGUUAACAAGUUUGGUAUGAAAGGCUUUUGCUUAACGAAAGUUUGUAUCAAAAACUGUUAAUCUAGAGUGUAGUAGAGAGUUCUGGAAUUCCAUGUGGAGCGGUGGAAUGCGUAGAUAUAUGGAAGAACACCAGUGGCGAAGGCGAGAACUUAGGCUAUCACUGACGCUUAGGCUCGAAAGUGUGGGGAGCAAAUAGGAUUAGAUACCCCUGUAGUC
This 466-nucleotide ribosomal RNA is filed under the name uncultured bacterium. Its description in RNAcentral is "partial 16S ribosomal RNA". It matches the Rfam family "Bacterial small subunit ribosomal RNA", at positions 338 to 795 of the family's 1533-position model. The record is from RNAcentral.